GUUUCUCCAGUUCUGUGGGUCUGACUCUGCCUCUCUCUUUUCGAGCCAGAACCACCAGAAAACCCACACUGUAUAGCAAACCCUAAUUCUUUGGUCUCAGAUCGGCCAUGGCUUCCACUAAAGAACGCGAGAACUUCGUUUACAUCGCUAAGCUCGCCGAGCAGGCCGAGCGUUAUGAUGAAAUGGUGGAUGCAAUGAAGAAUGUUGCAAAGCUUGAUGUCGAAUUGACAGUUGAGGAAAGAAACUUACUUUCUGUUGGGUACAAGAAUGUGGUUGGUGCACGGAGAGCCUCAUGGAGAAUCUUAUCAUCAAUAGAGCAGAAAGAAGAAGCGAAAGGAAAUGAAACAAAUGCUAAACGCAUCAAAGAAUACAGACAAAAGGUUGAAUCAGAGCUCUCUGGUAUUUGCAAUGAUAUCAUGACAGUGAUUGACGAGCACCUAAUUCCGUCGGCUUCAGCUGGGGAAUCAACAGUAUUCUACUAUAAGAUGAAAGGAGACUAU
RNAcentral lists this unclassified non-coding RNA (500 nucleotides) under Hevea brasiliensis (rubber tree). The record is from RNAcentral. Lineage: Eukaryota; Viridiplantae; Streptophyta; Magnoliopsida; Malpighiales; Euphorbiaceae.